Rattus norvegicus (Norway rat) is the source of this 1128-nucleotide non-coding RNA. The record is from RefSeq and is a predicted model, not a curated record. NCBI's taxonomy places the organism in Eukaryota, Metazoa, Chordata, Mammalia, Rodentia, Muridae.
CUGAGUUACUAAUAAUUUACUCCCUGAGGAAUGCCAGUAAGUUUGGGAGCAGGUGAGAAUACAUGCAGACGAACAUACCCAAUUGGAUCUGAGGCAGUACCUGACCAAGAUCCCCGAUGGAAUUAUAAUUCCACAGGUGGUAUUUUAGCCAGAGAUAGAUUUAUAAUCUGUCUCCUGGCCGGUCUUUACAGGACAGUCUUAAAACCAGUGAAUUUUGGAAAAACUACAAGAGGUCAUCCAGGAAAAACAGGAAAACCCAUCCCAAUUUUUUAGAACGCCUUACAAAGGCUUUAUUACAAUACACUAAUCUGGACCCUGAAAACUCAGAAGGUAAGCAACUUCUGACGACCUAUUUCUUUUCCCAGAGCUACCCCGACCUAAAAGACAAACUUAAAAAGCUAGAGUUAGUUGUGGGCCCCUAACUCCACAGGCAGAAGUUUUGGCAGUGGCCUUUAAGUGCACCAUGGAAGGGACGAGAAGGCUCGCAGACUAAAGUACCCAUAUGCUGGCAAAGGCUGUCCGACCAGCCUCAGCCACUGCCAGGAACUCCUGGCCUUCUAGGCUAAGGGACCACCAGGCUCCUGCUGCAAAUGUGGUCGACAAGGUCAUUGGGCGAGGGCUUACCCUAACUUCCACAAGCCAAGGGGCCAUGUCCUAGGUGCCAUCAAGAGGGACACUGUACUGUUGAUUGCCCCUGUGUUGAGCAGGACAGGAGACAUCACAUCCAGAUAACCCUCCAGAGGAUCUCCUAGGCUUGGCUAUGGACGACUGAAGGGGCCUGAGUUCCCUGGACUUGACCACAGCCAUCACCAGCAGAGCCCUGGGUAACCAUUCUGGCACAGGAAACCCACUCAGACCCACCUCUCAUGGACUAAAUAGACUCCACCCAGAUCAGAACACCUGACCCGUCAACUGCUCUCAGAGAAACCAGGACACACUCUGCAAAUAAAACAUAGACAGGAACUGGGCAUGGUUGACAUAUCCCCCUCCUCAAAUAAUAAUAAACAAAACAUCAUAAGGAAAAUAGGAUGAUUUUUAUUUAUAGUUUAAUCUGUUUUCUGAAGAUAUAAUUCAUGUUUAUUUUCAAAAACUAAGAUGGCAUUUUUUUUCAUUUUGAAAUUUAAGAUA